RNAcentral lists this long non-coding RNA (679 nucleotides) under Gallus gallus (chicken). RNAcentral's name for it is "lncRNA (ENSGALG00010029080.1)". The record is from RNAcentral. Lineage: Eukaryota; Metazoa; Chordata; Aves; Galliformes; Phasianidae.
CAGGUCCAUGAGACUCAGUGCAGUCUCGUAGGUAGAUCAGCAAAAGGGGGGAGCACUUAGGUUUUCAUGUUGUUUCCAAGUGAAGUGUGUCUUCGUACUCCCUUUGCAGAAGAGAAGGGAGGAUGUGGGUCAGGAUGAGUGGUGUGCGUGGCGUGCUUUGCCUUGCAAAGGUGUCUUUGCCAGCCACUCCAGCUGUGAGGUGUUUCGAGUGCCUUCUGCAGAGCCAGCAGGCAGGGUUCAGUUGAGUGUAAAGCUGGGUCGAGCUCCGGGAGAGCUUUCCUCUGGGCAGCUCCACACGUGGCUAGUUUUGUCACAAUUGCGGUGCCACUGCAGGCACCCAGGGACUGUUGCAAAGAUGCUCCUGAGUGGAAGGGAGAGAACAGUGUCAUGAAGGAGUCCCCUGUUUUGAUUGCCUCGUCUGUCAUUCUGGCCGCAAGAAUGUUUAAUGAGAGUUGCUGUGUGCUGUGUUUGCAGGUGUGACUGGAGGUGUAGGUGAUCCAGCUUCCCCUCUGCGAUCCAGGAUGCGUGGGAGUCCGUCAUCUCGCAUGGAAGUGUGGCCAGGGAAGGCGUUGCCAAGUCCUCAGCUCUUUCCUGUGCUGGAGCCCCGCUGGAAUCCCAGGGGUCCGGAAAGAGGAAAGGAUACAUCUAGAAGAGGGAAAUACUCCCCGAGGUCAUCUCC